This 5782-nucleotide long non-coding RNA is filed under the name Homo sapiens (human). Its description in RNAcentral is "non-protein coding lnc-BATF3-2:9". The record is from RNAcentral. Lineage: Eukaryota; Metazoa; Chordata; Mammalia; Primates; Hominidae.
AGCUGUCCCCGGGCUGCCUGGGAGUCACUGGGGAGUCCUAGCCCGCCCUUGGGCCUAGGGCUCCCUGAUGCGGCCUCCACUCUUCGCAGGGCCAGGGGGCGAGGAAGGAGGAGGGAGGGAAGAGGGAAGCUGGGGAGUGGGAGAGCGUCCUCCACGACCGCUUGGGUCCUCCGCGGGGCAGCCUCGGGGAGGGUGGCUGCAGGGCCCGGAGUCGCCUGGAUCGCAGCGCCAUCUCGUGGCUGCUGGCAGGUCUGCCUUGGGCCCUCUUGGCACAAGGCAAGGAAACAGGAGCUCUUCCCAUCAGUGACAGCCCAGGAGAAUGCUCCAGUGUCACCAGUGACUCCUGCUCCCACAUCUGCCUACAGGAAGCCCUCUUGGAACAAAAGCAUCUCACUUCUGGGAGGCAUCAAGUCAAGGGAGAAGCAGUGAUGUUUUAGUAUCCAGAAAGUGGAAAUAACCCAAAUGCCCAUCAACAGCAGAAUGAAAUUGUACUAUAUUCACACCAUGGAAUAUUGUAUAGCAAAGAGAAUGAAUGAACUAUUAACAGAAAAGACAUGGACAAAUCUCAUAAACAUGAUGCUGAAAGAAACCACAGUCAAAAAAGUACAUUAUUUUGUGAUUCCAUUUAUAUAUAGUGGGAAAAGGAAGCAACAUUAAUUUAUGGUGUUAGAAGUUAGGAUAGUGGUUACCCUUAGGGGUAGUGACUGAAAGAGAACAUGAGAGGGGUAUUGGGGGUACCGUGAUGUUUUGGUUCUUCAUCUGGGUGCUAGUUGCAUGGGGUUGCUCACUUUAUGAAAUACCAUUGAGUGGUAUGCUUUUGACCUGUGCACUGCUCUGCAUGUGUGAUAUACUUCAAAAUGAAACAUUAAGAUACAGGAGGAAGGACAUAGUCUCAAAGCAAAGGACAGUUUUUUUGUUGUUGUUUGUUUGUUUGUUUUAUUUUGUUUUGAGACAGAGUCUUGCUCUGUUGCCCAGGCUGGAGUGCAGUGGCGGGAUCUCGGCUCACUGCAACCUCUGCCUCCCAAAUUCAAGCAAUUCUCCUGCCUCAGCCUCCCGAGUAGCUGGGAUUACAGGCGUGCACCACCAGACCGGCUAAUUUUUGUAUUUUCAGUAGAGACAGGGUUUCACCAUGUUGGCCAGGCUGGUCUUGAACUCCUGACCUCAGGUGAUCUGCCUGCCUCAGCCUCCCAAAGUUCUGGGAUUACAGAUGUGAGCCACCAUGCCCAGCCAGAACAAGUCUUUAAAAACUAAAUUUAACUUUAUGAACAGUUUUACGAAAAAUGUACUAUAUUUGUCCACAUUUUCCUCAUCUCUCCUUGAAGCAGUGUAAAUUGCUUUAAGACAGGGUUCUGGGGCUAUGCCAAUGUCAGUGGGAAAAGAAAACAGGGGUGACAAGACUGGCAUCAACUGAUGCUGUGAGGAACAGGCCAGCUCUUUAAGGAAGGUGCCUCUCAUCUGCUCCUGGCUUCUGUGCUCAUAGUUCACACUCACGGUGUUGUGUGCAUGUCUAGGAAGAUGCUUCCCAACCUUUUGCAGACCAUGGCAUACGCAGAAAAUGACAACAUCGGAAUGGCACACUGGCAUACCAGUUGGGGAUCCUUGCAGUCAAUGCUGACUGGACUCAUCCUUCAGCCGCCCCCAAGAAGAGAGAGAUCAAUACCUUGGCACAUCUGUGGGAAAGCUCCCAUUAGAGAGUGUGGGGAAGACACAGGCCUCCACAACACAUUUCAGGUUCUCUAAACUGGCAAAGGGGAAGAGUCUGGGCUUCCUUUGCCCUUUUGUUCUCAAAGAGCCCAGCUGUGCACACCCCUCACCCCUGCACUAUAGCUCCCAUUUGGGUAGUGAAAAAUCACAGGACUCAGGGGAGUUAUGCAGCAUUCGGGAAUGGAGACCUGGAAAGCCACACACUCCUCCUUGCUUUCCUGUGAGCCUCUCUUCUUGCUGUCCCCUUUACAACCAACAGUCCCUGCAGGGGGAAGACACUCUGCUUUAGUCAGUUCCACCUCCCUUCCAGAUCUCAUCCUCCUUUCAGCCUAAUUUUCCUCACACUGUCAUGCUCCUUCCCACUGCUCGCCCCCCACCCCCUACUCUCCUCCAGCACAUCACACAUUGCGCCUGGGCACACUGAGCUUGUCUGCCAUCUAUGAAGAGGCCCAUGUCACCCAAGCCCUUCUCUUUCCCUGUCAUGCCAUAGCCUCUUCCAGGAGCGCUCAGCCUGCUGUUUCUGCUCAGACCUCCCCUCCUCUGCAAAGCCUCCUUCUGCGUGCUGCCCGAGAGCCAUCCCCCACUUGGGUUUGUGUUACUGCUGUGUAUGGCAGCAUCUUCACUGUGCCUGAUUUCCCGUCUUGGCCCAUCGUAGGUGCUCAACAAUUGUUUCUCAAAUGACCAGCGCCUGCAGAGGGACCCUGACAUGAACUCCACCCCACCCCGACUCUUGGCAGUUACUCACUGUCCCCUUGAGUCGGGAUCCCAGCCCCUCAGGGGACCUGUCUUGCAGCCAUUCCACGCUCUGUCACCCCACUGCCAGGAGACUAGAGCCACACUGCCUGGAUGACGCUCAUCUUUACCAGCUCGCAGCUCUGCCAGCUGCCUGCUCAGGGGUGGCCGCCAGCUGAGGGAUUGAGCUGAUUAUAGGUGAAUCAGCACCAGGCUGAUUGUGGUGUGAAAAAGGGGAAGGGUGACUGUGUCUUAGCCUCAAUCCUGGCUCCCCUCCUUCCAGCCCUGACCUGCAGUAACAGCACAGGGCCACCAGAGGCUCUAUUGGGCGACUCAUGCCCCGCGGAGAAAGGCCCAGUAGGAGAGCAUCUGACCCAGUUCCCAGCAGAUGAGAAAGGAAGAAGAGUUCAGGAGGCUUCUACUCUCAGAGGUCUCCAGCACUGAAACCCCGCAGCCGCACCUGGCUGCCUUAUCCUUGUGUUUUGCCCCUCAUGGGUCUAGAAGCUGUUGUGUUACACCUUAACAUCUUCCUCCUUGCUUGCCAUGAGCCCCUCUGCUUGCAGCCCCCUUUACAGAACAACAGUCAUGGUAGAGGGAAGAUGUCUCCACUUUUGUCAGUUCUGCCUCCUUUAGGAGAGUGUCAGGCCUAACCCAUGUGUGCUCUGUCUUUCAGGGCAUGGAAAAGACUAUUGUCCUGUUUCGUCUUUUCAACACCUCUUGACUCUCUCCCCCUGGUUUCCUAACAGCCAGCUAGGUUCAGGGCCUCCCAUCUCUGGCCAGGAUUAGUGCAAUGGCUUUCUGAAGGGUCCCAGGCUCCAGGGAGCCCCUUGCCCAUCAAGUCUCUACCCUGGAGCCAGACAGCCCUUACUUCCAUCAGACAUCAGCCUCCAGUGGCUCCGAAAGGCCAGGCAUCCACACAGCACCCCACGGCCCCAAGAACUGGCUGCUUGAUUUUCCUGCCCUGUGUCCCUCCUCUCCUUGGCCCUCUACCCAGCAAUCACCCCAAAACACUGUGAUGUUUCAAGCCUUUGUACUUUGCACACAUUCUUCUCCAUGGCCUAAUUCCCUCUCUCCACCCCUCACUCCACACCUCCUCCACCUUUACCCUUUCUCCCCAUUCUUUCUUCACCGGGCACAGCCCUACUUAUCCUUCAAAACUGCCACUUCCUCUGCGAAGCCUUUCCUGACCCGUGUCCCAGAAUCCCUCCUCUGAACAAAUCCUGUUCCCUAAACAUGCAUCUCUCAUUGUAUCUGUCACUCAAGGGUUGCAAUAAUUACACACACGCCUGUCCUUUGUCCUCCACUGGCUCUGUACCUCCAUGUGGGACCCAUGGCCAGCACACAUUGGUGGUGCCCGAAAGCUGUUGCACUGGAGUUGUUCCUUCUGCCCCAUCACCUCCCACCUUGAACAAGUCCUUUAGAUGACCUGAACUCCAGUUUGUUGAUCUGCAAAAUGGAGAGAUGUGAGAAUCAGAAGAGAACACGUAAUGAAAGGGUGUUAUAAACUGCUAAGGGCUGUACAAAUGUUUGUAUUGCAUUUUUGUCUUCCAGACUAGUGUUUACCUACACUUGCCUGUGUGGAAAUCAGAAGAUUAAAGGAAUGCGAUGUGAUCUUUUUGUAAUUUCCCCACUUGGGUCAAGGGAAAAGCUGGUCAAGAGUAAACCAUUAAUUCAUCCCCCUGCAGGCCCCCCAAUCUUCCCUAGAAUUCUGGGUUAAUGAUUCUGAGGUUGUUUUCCUCACAGAGCCAAUUCAUAUCUAAUCUUUGGCAUGUUCCCCCCUUUAUUAAGAAUAACUUGACUCACCCCAUUAAUUCCUCAUCCUGGGGUCACGAGCCUUGUUUUGCAGAAGGAAAUGGUGGCUGUGUGUAUGUCUUGGGCCUUCUUUCUUUCUCAAACCCCUUUCUUUCAUGGAUUCAUGCCUACAAUUCCCUCUGUGGACAGAAGAGACCUCUCCUUACCUGCAUAAUGAAAUGUGUGACUUUUCUCAAAAGUAGCUUUAGGAAUUAACUGUGGAGGUCCAAGUAGCAAGGAUGCUGUGACCUAACUCGUUACCCCCUCACGUGUGGUUUGGAAUCCCAGCAGAAAAAAUUUCCUGAAGAUCUGGUACGGAGAAACCAUUCUGGGCCUGGCUUUUAAAUGUUUUAUUAGCAGCUGGGCGAGGACUGGGCUGCAAAGAGAUGCAGCCCCCGUCAGAAGCGAUCCCUGUUGGGGAGCAAGGCCUGGAAUUCCAGGAGGGAGGUCUGUUUAUAGCUGAGGCAGAGGCUGGGGAGCGAAGCCUGGGAGCCAGACAUGGCUUAAGGGUGGUCUGGACACUCUUGAGAUAAGGCCAACUAAGGACUAUGAGCUCAUUGAAGUUCCAAAGCCAACUCACAGCAGCUCACCACCAGACAUGUCCCCUGCCCCCACAUUCCCUCCUCUCAAUCCAGGAAUUUUGGUGCUCAUCUCUAUAAAGUUUUAGACCAUGGUGGUAGGAACCUGGUAAGUCUCAGGUUCUUGCAUUGCCCGAUUCUCCUUGGAUUUGCUGGGUUUGCCUCCUUCCCAUGUCUCAGACAGGGCUUUGCAUAAAGAAGUGGGCUGGUAGAUCUGCAAAGGUCCCUCUGUGUGACUGGAGCAAGUUACCCUCUUGAGCCUCAGUGUCCUCUUCUGUAAAAUAGGGAUAUCAUUCUUUCUUUCCCAAGGCUUUUGGUAAUAAUGUCAUUCUCAUGUGAUUCUUAACAAAAUGGGCCUUUCAGACUUAGAUCACUUUUGUGCAUGCAUAAAAAUGAAAGCAUUGAGGAGAAGGAAUUGGUGAAUAUAUGUCUGGAGCAAUAACUUCAUCAGAACUGCCACGGUGGUUGUAGGACCAUUCUGAUUCCAGAGGUAUUAAAAUGCAAAACACAAUGUUGAAAUGCAAAACCCAACAAAAUAAUAAACAGCCUUGUACCUACCGCCUCCCUUAAGAACUAAAACAAUUCCCAACACCACUGAAAGACUGUGUUCACCUCCUUGAUCCAAUCUCUUGCCUUUCCACCCCAGAGAAAACCACUGUCCUGAAUUUUUUCCCACUCCCUUGGUUUUGUUUUACCAAACAUGUAUCCAAUAUGUAACAUAUUAUUUGUAUUUGAUCUUGUUUUUGAAUUGUCCUGUAGGUAGAAUUAUAUCUUAUUCUGCAAUUUGCUUUUUAAAGUUUUUGAAAGAGCAAAACUUAUCUAUGCUAAUACGCUAAUGUGUGUAGCUGCCAUUUAUUUGUCACUGCAUAUACCCCUCUCAAUUCUGUUGAUGGAAAUUUAGGCAGUUUCCAGUAUUAUUUUGCUACAAACAUUCUCAUGGCUGUCUCCUGCAACAUGUGUGUUUCUUGGGAGUAUAC